RNAcentral lists this ribosomal RNA (88 nucleotides) under Bos mutus (wild yak). Lineage: Eukaryota; Metazoa; Chordata; Mammalia; Artiodactyla; Bovidae. The record is from RNAcentral.
GUGUGUGGCCAAACCAACCUGAAUGCACCCAAUCUCAUGUCAUCUCAGAAGCUGAGCCUGGUUAGUACCUGAAUGGGAGAUUCAUACA